RNAcentral lists this ribosomal RNA (506 nucleotides) under uncultured bacterium. RNAcentral describes it as "partial 16S ribosomal RNA". It matches the Rfam family "Bacterial small subunit ribosomal RNA", at positions 30 to 523 of the family's 1533-position model. The record is from RNAcentral.
AUUGAACGCUGGCGGCAGGCCUAACACAUGCAAGUCGAACGGUAGCACAGAGGAGCUUGCUCCUUGGGUGACGAGUGGCGGACGGGUGAGUAACGUCUGGGAAACUGCCCGAUGGAGGGGGAUAACUACUGGAAACGGUAGCUAAUACCGCAUAACGUCGCAAGACCAAAGUGGGGGACCUUCGGGCCUCACACCAUCGGAUGUGCCCAGAUGGGAUUAGCUAGUAGGUGGGGUAAUGGCUCACCUAGGCGACGAUCCCUAGCUGGUCUGAGAGGAUGACCAGCCACACUGGAACUGAGACACGGUCCAGACUCCUACGGGAGGCAGCAGUGGGGAAUAUUGCACAAUGGGCGCAAGCCUGAUGCAGCCAUGCCGCGUGUAUGAAGAAGGCCUUCGGGUUGUAAGGUACUUUCAGCGGGGAGGAAGGCGGUGGAGUUAAUAACUUCACCGAUUGACGUUACCCGCAGAAGAAGCACCGGCUAACUCCGUGCCAGCCGCCGCGGUAA